GUAUCAUGGCUCAGGAUGAACGCUAGCUACAGGCUUAACACAUGCAAGUCGAGGGGCAGCAUGGUCUUAGCUUGCUAAGGCCGAUGGCGACCGGCGCACGGGUGAGUAACACGUAUCCAACCUGCCGUCGUACGUCUUGGACAGCCUUCUGAAAGGAAGAUUAAUACAAGAUGGCAUCAUGAGUUCACAUGUUCACAUGAUUAAAGGUNUUCCGGUAGACGAUGGGGA
RNAcentral lists this ribosomal RNA (228 nucleotides) under uncultured bacterium. RNAcentral's name for it is "partial 16S ribosomal RNA". It matches the Rfam family "Bacterial small subunit ribosomal RNA", at positions 14 to 231 of the family's 1533-position model. The record is from RNAcentral.